UUAAUACUGUCUCAUCAUAAACCAUCAAAACUCUUCAUUGUGUGUUGCGGCAGGUAAUGUGAUUAUUCUCUUUAUUCCAUUUUGUGUUUUUGCAGCCAGUCCUGUUAAAGCUCUUUGUUACUUAUCAAUGAAUUCAACCUUUCAGCUCAUGUCAUACUUCCUAUAAACAUUGUUAAGUGCCAAAUAUAGCCAAAGACGUUAUUUUAAAUAAUUCACAACAUUUCUGCCUCACAGGAAACAUAAACCUGAAGCGCUUUGAAGCUCGGAGCUUCACAAAUCAUUUAAUGUGGAUCUCUUGGCAAAAUGAUGACGCAUGCUAGUUUAGAGGAGCGUUGUGCAUGUGCGGGGGACACACUAGGUGUGGUGUUCUCUUCUCUUAGAGUGUAUUGUUGCUUUCACUUCCUAGAGGAGGAGGUGAUUAACGGAAGAGUUGGUGACUAAUUUGGGAAAAAAUUUUGUGGUUUGGUUCCGGACUGCAGCCUUGUGACUGGGACUACGGAUGCUCUUCAUUUUCCCUUUCAGGGAGAGACACCACAUGGACUCAUGUCAUGGGACAAUUCAACAUGGCUGCCACCAUCCCUGCUUACUAGCCUGCAAUUUUCUAAUCAUAGUGACCUUUUUCAGCCUUGCAAUGCUUUCUGAUCUCCUUGACGGCAGGGACAUGGAUAGUGGAUAGGAAAGGCCUUUUAAAAACAGGGGGUUUGUUUAUACCCACAGUUAAUCAUGUGGGAGGAAAUGAGAAAAUAAAAGCACUUCUGAUUUGAAGGUGAAAGGCGUCUUCCUCUGCUCGCUUGGAGAUGUGUAACCAGUAUCUCAAAGAUCCAAUUAUUUGAUCAUAUGCAAAUAACAAUGACCAGCAGAGGUUUUGUUGAAUGCGUCUGCUCUAAUGUUUGCAACAUGGCUGCCUCCUGCUCUCAAAAAAUCCUUUUUCCAUCAGUGCCAGCGAGCAAGAUUCAAGCUUACAAUGAGUAUGUCAAACCUUGCAACAUAGGCUCUAUGCUGACAGAGUGGCAGGCACCCACUUCCUUCUGCUACUUGCCUUCCUCUGGUCACACCUUCUUUGUAAAAUUGCGGUUCUCUUUACAAGAAAUUGUUACCAAAGACGAGGACAAAAAAACGAUCACAUGCCCUGAGCAGCUGAUCUCUGUUUCCUGUAUCUGUGUGUCAGCCAAAAAUACUGCCUUAUACAGAAACACUGAGAAAGAGGCCCCAGCAAACCAGUUCAAGGACUGAAGGCUUUGUCUUCAGACUGAGCAUAAAGCUGACAGGAACAGAGUCAGAACUUUGGCUGGAGUUCAAGCUGACCUCGUUGCUCUGUGCAAAUAUCUGCCACUAGAUGGCGAUGGAGACCAUUGCACAGACUGGAUGGAUACUGUAAAAAAGAAGCCCAGAGGGUCUUGUACAGUAAAGAGAACCCUUGUGGAACAAUUCACUGUGAGGCUUUUUGUUUUUGCUUUUCGUGCACCUUUGAUGAUGGUGCAGUCCAAAGUGAAGAAUGGAGUAGAUUUUGAGUGAAAUCACAGCAGCACCUUUCUGUUUAAUGAGUGAUAUAUUGGUCUGAAUGAUUAAAGAAUGUAUUGUAAGUCAA
Larimichthys crocea (large yellow croaker) is the source of this 1588-nucleotide long non-coding RNA. RefSeq lists it as uncharacterized. The record is from RefSeq and is a predicted model, not a curated record. The transcript has 2 exons. NCBI's taxonomy places the organism in Eukaryota, Metazoa, Chordata, Actinopteri, Sciaenidae.